This 505-nucleotide ribosomal RNA is filed under the name uncultured bacterium. RNAcentral's name for it is "partial 16S ribosomal RNA". It matches the Rfam family "Bacterial small subunit ribosomal RNA", at positions 28 to 507 of the family's 1533-position model. The record is from RNAcentral.
GACGAACGCUGGCGGCGUGCCUAAUACAUGCAAGUAGAACGCACAGUUUAUACCGUAGCUUGCUACACCAUAGACUGUGAGUUGCGAACGGGUGAGUAACGCGUAGGUAACCUGCCUGGUAGCGGGGGAUAACUAUUGGAAACGAUAGCUAAUACCGCAUAAUAUUAAUUAUUGCAUGAUAAUUAAUUGAAAGGUGCAAUUGCACCACUACCAGAUGGACCUGCGUUGUAUUAGCUAGUAGGUGAGGUAACGGCUCACCUAGGCGACGAUACAUAGCCGACCUGAGAGGGUGAUCGGCAACACUGGGACUGAGACACGGCCCAGACUCCUACGGGAGGCAGCAGUAGGGAAUCUUCGGCAAUGGACGAAAGUCUGACCGAGCAACGCCGCGUGAGUGAAGAAGGUUUUCGGAUCGUAAAGCUCUGUUGUAAGAGAAGAACGGGUGUGAGAGUGGAAAGUUCACACUGUGACGGUAUCUUACCAGAAAGGGACGGCUAACUACGUG